GCCUCUAUGGCUCAGUGGUAGAGCGUCGCACUUGUACCAGUCUACAAGGUCAUGCGAAGGUCCAUAGUUCGAUCCUGUGUGGAGGCU
Non-coding RNA from Purpureocillium lavendulum, 87 nucleotides. The record is from the annotation of a GenBank genome assembly. Lineage: Eukaryota; Fungi; Ascomycota; Sordariomycetes; Hypocreales; Ophiocordycipitaceae.